Molecule: unclassified non-coding RNA, 2084 nt
Filed under: Gigantopelta aegis
Lineage: Eukaryota; Metazoa; Mollusca; Gastropoda; Neomphalida; Peltospiridae
Description: uncharacterized LOC121372574, transcript variant X3
Source: RNAcentral
CUGGUUACCAGCAACAAACAAAAAGCAAACUAUGAUGAUUUAAGAAGUUGCUGACUUUUUUUCUGUUAAAAAAUCCCGUAAUAUUUGUAAGAGAAUCAUGGCAGAUUCAGACGUGCCUCCAUUGGAGGAUAUGAGCGAUCUGCUUCAACACAUGGGAGUGUUGCGAGAGAACAUGGACGUAUCGAGCAGAAACCAGAAUCCAUUAUACGUCUCAAGUACCGAUUCAAAUAUACUACAUUCUAAACCACUACCUGACAAUAAAAGAGCAGAAGAAAGAAGCACUGAGAGGAACGUACACAAACCGAGUGGCACAGAGAUCUGCAAAGCCAAGACUGACACAAGGCAGACCUCGUCUAGUACGGCCAGCUCAGGGAUGUUUGGUGGACUUAAGAAGGGAUUUCUCUUUGGUGAUACCAAGAACAAGGCGGGUAAAGACAUUGCUAAUACAAGGCAUGACAGUGGUAAAAGUGCAAAGGAAACAUGUGAAGAGGAAAAUAUUCCGUAUAUUAAGCCAAAUACAAAAGAAGAUGAUUCCAAGUUUCGGUUUUCUGAAGUUCAGCAAGCUAUGGAAGCUUCACAGCAGUUCCUUGAGAAGAAAGACUGGGUCACAGAUGACCUACUGACCCAGAUUCAGCAGGACGAGACACUGAGCAAACGUCUGACUGAUCCGAGGUUCGUACAGGCUAUCGGCGAGUUUCAGAAAGACCCAAAAGCUGCGUCACAGAAAUAUCAGAACAACCCGGAAAUGCAGAAGUUUUUCACAGAUUUCUGCAACCUCAUGGGUGAUCAUUUCUCGAACCUGGCUGAAUCGAGUGUAGGACAGAAUGCAACAUCAGGCCCGACGGUUACCGAUAUUUCUGUCCAUGAUCCAGCCGGCUUAUCGUCAGAAGAAGACGAGAAGGUUCAGGAUAUUCUGGCCGACCCGGAACUCCGAGAGAUCCUCGUGGAUCCAGAAAUACAGAGUCUGUUUGAGAUGUUGAGGACGAGGCCGGAACAAGCGUCACGGUAUAUUCGGAGUGUUAAUAAUGAGAUGAGACAAAAAAUUCGAAAGCUGGUUGAGGCUGGACUGUUACAGUUACAAGUCUAGGUUGAGUGUUCAGAUCACACCAGUGGACCACAGAACAUCUCCGUCUGACAUUUACAACCAAAGCAGCAAACGUUUGUUGUUAACUUCAGGCUGUUGUAUCACAAACAAUGCCAGUGGGUACACAAUAUUUACGUCCCAUGAAUAUACCCAUCCAAGUAUUUGAAACUGGAUAGUUGCAGCUGCAACUGUGUAAAGAUUUUUGUAAGUAUUAUCAGAUAAAUUAAUUGAUUUAUUAUUAUAUGUAUGUUUAAUGUUACUGCUUAUUUGUAACAAGUUAAACUAAUAUGUUAACUUAUUAUGUUUAUUGCUACAUGUUAGCUUAUUAUUAUUGGGUUUUUUAAUGUUUAACUAAUACACUAACUAGUUCAAUGUAAUAUGAUAAUUUGUUCAUAAUCUGUUAUACUACUUCCAACCAGAAAAUGUGGAAUUUAUGUUCAGAUUGUUAUUAUUUUAAUAAAAAGCUGUUUUCUUUUAGAUUUUUUCUUUUCUUGUUGGAGUGUUUUUAAUUUGGCUUUUGUUAAAAAAAAAAAAUCAGUUUGAAGGUGGUGUGUGUGAUAGUGGCCAGAAAUUUUUUUCAUCAAUAAACCUUUUGUUUUAACAUGUUGAAUGCCCUUGCACGGAAAUGUGAAUAUGAAAAAGGAAUUUUGUAUAUGCACUAUAUUGAUAAAGGUGGAAAUGGAAUUAUGCACAAAAUCAGAUUAAUGUUUAAGCAGGUCUUAAAUAGAAUUUAAGACUAGAAAUUAACCAGAUGACAUUUAUCCUGCAAUCAUUGUCAAGUGUUUUGUCUAUAGGCAGACUACCACUCACCAGGAUGCCAUGUUCUGAAUUCUAGUUUUGUCUUUAGGAGGACUGCCACUCCCAAGACUGGUUUCACAACCUCACCAAGACCGAGCUCGAUGGUAUUUUAUCAGUUGCUCUCAUGGAUCACUGUCAAAACAAUGAUCAUACCAGCUCAGUGUCAAAUUGAUGUUAGCAGUCUACGACAUUAUAAAACCAA